Molecule: long non-coding RNA, 866 nt
Filed under: Salmo salar (Atlantic salmon)
Lineage: Eukaryota; Metazoa; Chordata; Actinopteri; Salmoniformes; Salmonidae
Description: lncRNA (ENSSSAG00000112279.1, ENSSSAG00020080090.1)
Source: RNAcentral
UUAUUAGACAGUAGUUACCAUAUUUGUAUAGGUAGCCUUGUUUGUUUAUUUUUCUUUUUUUCAUUUGGAUCCUCUUGAAAACGAGAUGGUGCAUCUGAAGAGAUUUCAUCCUGCAAAAUCUCAAAUAAAUAAAUAAAAUUUGUCUUGAACGCAAGGAAGAUGGAGAUUUCCGAGGUGUUUUGAACGUGAUAUGAAUGGACAACGAGCAAUGACAACAUGCUUAUGGAAUUCUGCCAACAACACCAGCGACAAACACUUUACCAGCGGUCUGAAAAGAGGUAGCUGGGUCAGAAGUUCAUUGACUCUUUCCCACGCUAAAUACAAAAUGUGUAGAUAACAUUAGCUAGCUCUGAAACGAGUAAUUUGGAGACCUUAUAUUUUCUUUUGAGAACUUAUCAUUCAGUGAGUGUAAACUAGCUGCAUACAUUAGCUAGCUAGGAGCUAUCUAGUAGCUAACUAGUUGAGCUAACGUUUGAGUGUUUCUACUGCAUGCGCACAAUACUAUUCAGACAGAGAAGAAGCACUUAAGAAAAUAAGCACUUUUUUUCUCAAUGUGCCAUCUCAGGUCUGUACUAUGUAUAAGCAUAUGUAUAUCUUUGUAAUCUGAAGAUGACAUGUUCAUCAUACCCUCCCUUUGCAACUCUAAUUAUGACUUGGUGAAAACUUAGAUGUUUUUCCUAUUAAAAAUGAAUGGACAGUGAAAUAGUAUGUGAUCUGUCAUUUCUAUUGCUUUUUCUGAGAGGUAUUUAAAAUACUUUCAAAUAUUAUAUUUUUUUCCCUGAGACCUGUAUGCUAUUAGCGGAUCAACUAAUCGAAAUCAAGUAAUCGACUAACUAUAGAUAGAUAGAUAGAUAGAUAGAUAGAUA